AUUGAACGCUGGCGGCAUGCCUUACACAUGCAAGUCGAACGGCAGCAUGGAGAGCUUGCUCUCUGAUGGCGAGUGGCGAACGGGUGAGUAAUGCAUCGGAACGUACCGUGUUAUGGGGGAUAAAGUAGCGAAAGUUACGCUAAUACCGAAUACGACCUGAGGGUGAAAGUAGGGGAUCGCAAGACCUUGCGUUAUCCGAGCGGACGAUGUCAGAUUAGCUAGUUGGUGAGGUAAAGGCUCACCAAGGCGACGAUCUGUAGCGGGUCUGAGAGGAUGAUCCGCCACACUGGGACUGAGACACGGCCCAGACUCCUACGGGAGGCAGCAGUGGGGAAUUUUGGACAAUGGGGGCAACCCUGAUCCAGCCAUGCCGCGUGAGUGAAGAAGGCCUUCGGGUUGUAAAGCUCUUUCGGCCGGGAAGAAAUCGCACAGGCUAAUACUCUGUGUGGAUGACGGUACCGGCAUAAGAAGCACCGGCUAACUACGUGCCAGCAGCCGCCGUAA
This 504-nucleotide ribosomal RNA is filed under the name uncultured bacterium. Its description in RNAcentral is "partial 16S ribosomal RNA". It matches the Rfam family "Bacterial small subunit ribosomal RNA", at positions 30 to 523 of the family's 1533-position model. The record is from RNAcentral.